RNAcentral lists this ribosomal RNA (505 nucleotides) under uncultured bacterium. Its description in RNAcentral is "partial 16S ribosomal RNA". It matches the Rfam family "Bacterial small subunit ribosomal RNA", at positions 28 to 507 of the family's 1533-position model. The record is from RNAcentral.
GACGAACGCUGGCGGCGUGCCUAAUACAUGCAAGUAGAACGCACAGUUUAUACCGUAGCUUGCUACACCAUAAACUGUGAGUUGCGAACGGGUGAGUAACGCGUAGGUAACCUGCCUGGUAGCGGGGGAUAACUAUUGGAAACGAUAGCUAAUACCGCAUAAUAUUGAUUAUUGCAUGAUAAUUGAUUGAAAGAUGCUAUUGCAUCACUACCAGCUGGACCUGCGUUGUAUUAGCUAGUAGGUGAGGUAACGGCUCACCUAGGCGACGAUACAUAGCCGACCUGAGAGGGUGAUCGGCCACACUGGGACUGAGACACGGCCCAGACUCCUACGGGAGGCAGCAGUAGGGAAUCUUCGGCAAUGGACGAAAGUCUGACCGAGCAACGCCGCGUGAGUGAAGAAGGUUUUCGGAUCGUAAAGCUCUGUUGUAAGAGAAGAACGGGUGUGAGAGUGGAAAGUUCACACUGUGACGGUAUCUUACCAGAAAGGGACGGCUAACUACGUG